This 66-nucleotide transfer RNA is filed under the name Ixodes scapularis (black-legged tick). It matches the Rfam family "tRNA". Rfam says of the family: Transfer RNA (tRNA) molecules are approximately 80 nucleotides in length. The record is from Rfam by way of RNAcentral. Lineage: Eukaryota; Metazoa; Arthropoda; Arachnida; Ixodida; Ixodidae.
UGGUUAGCUCAGUUGGUAGAGCGCUCCACUGGAGAUGGAGAGGCACCUGGUUCGAUGCCAAGACCA